ACGUGUCCGGAGGGAGCUGCUGGCAGAGGCUUCUCAAGGGCAAGGGCUUUGACUCAUCAGGUCUGAAUCCCAGCCAUAGUAGAGAGCGGAUGCUUAAUGCUUAAUAAAUAUUUUAUGGAUGAAUGAAUAAAUUAUUGAACAAUGGCAGGAAAAUGACAAAAAGUAAGAUGCACGUGUGCUGAAUAGGAAAAUGUUGGGAAAAUAUGUGAUAGUUAUAACUAAGUACAUAUGGUUGCAGCAGCAACUGCAUCAAAUUUAAAGGUGUACUACAAUUAGGUAGAAGAGCACAAGAAGGCUGUGCAAAAAAAUAUGCUCUUGGCACUUUGUAUCAUUCUGUUUGAGUGUGAGAGAAACAAGGGGCAUGAUGGCUCACUCUCUUGUACACCCCACGUGAGAGAACAAUUGAGCAGGACUCACUCUCUUAACUCCAUGUAGGUGGGCUAUAGGGGUAAGUGGAGGAGAAGUAAGGGAAUCAAGGACUGUUACCAUAGGUGGUCUGUCUCAGGAAAGCCUGAAAGGGCAUCAAAUAGCAGCAACUCUUAGAAGUGGGGGAGGAGAAAGCAAAUUUCAAUCUAACCCUCCUGGGUGGGUGUGACUCUCUGAAAGCCUCUAGCACCAAGUGGGGCUCAUAUAAGGGAUGUAUGUUCUUACUAACAGACAAUAUCACUGACCUGUGGGUCUAUAACCUAUAGACCCUAUAACCCACCUGCAAAGUCUUCCAUCAAGUGGGACCAGGGAGGGAAGACCAAGGAUCUCUCCCUUGUCCAAACCCUUCACAUCAAUCUCUCAUCAUCUAAAUCCUGUUGGCUUUACCUUCUGACAAGAUAGAUACCUGGUUGUUCUCCAAAUCUCCACUUUACUGCUACAGCACUAGUUCAGAUAUCAUUGUUGCUUUCCUGGACCAGGGCAAUCAUCUUCUAAUUGGUCUCUUUUCCUCAAGAUUACCCAUCUUCAAUUCUUUCCCUCUAAUACAGUCCAAACGAUAUUCCUAACACAAAAACCUGAUAAUAUUGCUUCACUACUUAAAGUCCAUCAGCUGUUCCUACUCCCUGAACAAGACAUGUAAUCUCUUCAAGAUGCUACAUGCAAGACCCUUCAAGAUGUGGCUUCCUCCUAUUUGUCUGGUCUCGUCUCUUGCCAUUACCCCUCAAUUACCCCCACACAAACAAAAUUCUACAUUUAUAACAGACAUCUUAUAGUUUCCUUAAUGUACUGUAUGUUCCCCAUGUUCUUCUUCUGCCCAGGGCACCCUUUCCUUCUUGUGUGCCUAGUUCUAUAAGUCCAAAAAUCUCCCCCUCAGAGAAGCCUUUCCUGUCACCAAUCUCCUCCACCCCACACCACGUUAUGUGCUCCCUCUAUAUUGCCUGUGUACUUUCCCAUUAUUAUUUCCAUAACCAUUGAUAUAUUAAUUGCCUACAAUGUGUCAGGCACUGUUCUAGGCAUGCAUUGACAUUAAAAUGGUAAAAACAGACAUAAUUCCCGUCCUGAUGGAAUGGACGUUCUACUGAGGGAGACAAACAAUGAAACAACCACCAAUAAACGCACAAGAGCACUGAACAAGUAAAUGUGAAAAAUAUAAGAUAACGAUAUAUGCUAGGUAGAGAAUUCAAUGGGGUCGUGUGAUAGAAUGACUGGUUGGUUAUAUAAGACAGAGAGGUCAGGGCAGAUCUCUCAAAGAGGUGACAUUGAAGUUAAGAGCAGAAUGAUGAGAAGAAACCAUAUCAUGAGAAGCAGGAGGAAGAGCGUUAAAGAGAGAAGAAAAGGCUAAUGCAAAGUCUUUAAGGUGGAAGUGAAGUGUGGAGAGUUCAGAGAACAUGAAGACAUCAGUGUGGCUGGAAUAGAAUGAGCAAGGGGAAGAAGAGCAUGAAAUGAAGAUCUGGUGACAGAUCACUCUGGGAUUUGGAAGCGAAAACAAGGGGAGGAGGUUUUAUUCUAAGUGAGCAGGGCAGAGGAAUUUUUAAGAGAGGUAGUGAUGUGGUCUGAUUGAUGUUGAAAAUUGGGAGGUCCUAGAGCUUAAUUGAAAAGAUAGGUUGGGGCCAGAUCUUGUGGGUCUGAAACGACAGUCGGUAGAAGGGAUCCAAUUUCCAGGGUUCCGAACAGAGAAUCAUCCUGAACAGGUGCAUCUAAGAAUGUUUUUUGGAUGAAUUAGAAGCAGGGUGGCUGAGCUGCAGGAGGCUACUGUGAUAGUCCCAGUGGGAAUUAAGGAGAGCUUGGCUUGGGCUGGGGUCAAUGAGAAGGCAAGGGAGGGAGGUUGAUGUGAGGGUCGUUGAGGAAGCGAACCACACAACUUGUUGGUGGCAAAGUCCGGAUUUUACAAUGCAUUACAACUGACAAUUUCCCUUACGUUUCUGUGUGGUGGCAUAGCACAAAUAUUAGUAGCUCCAACUUAAAAGUAGAAAGUGAAACACAGUGAAAAACGAGGUCUCUAAUCCAAAAAGCAAAUUAGAACUAAAGGCAAGUAGGAGCCCAGGACAUCAACUCUAAGAAUCAAAGCAUAUAUGUAAAGCAGACUACUGAUUGCCAUUAUUUUGAGUGAAAUAUUAGCAUUAAAAAUAAAGUAGCAUACCUAAAAUUUUUAGUCUUUUGGACAAUGGCAGAGCUAUAUUCCUACAAAUAUCAAGGGUUAAUUUUGUGUUUAACUUUAUAAAAUUUCUGUUUUGCUUUUCAAACAGAGAAGUUAGACACCUAGAAGACAAUAUAAUGAAUGUCAUUUAUGAAACCACCACGUUUCUACUCUCUAGGGUUAGGUCCAGGGUCUUUCUUCAGUUCCAUCUGUUCUGUGGUAAGUCAUUUUGAUUUUUGAGUUCUUGAUUAAUAAUAAGCUUCCAUUUACAGAAUUCUGAAGCUGCACAUUCUAAGAGCUGGUGGCCAGCCCAAGAGAGUGGGAAUCAUUUAGUUGCAUUUUGAAAAUCAGGUAAUGGAAGAAAGAGUAAGAACUAGAAGCCACAGACCUACGAUGGUUAAAAGGUAUAAGUGGAAGCGAAUCCAGACCUGCUCCUUAGCCCCCUAAAGCUCUGAUGAAUAUUGGCAUAAUUUAACUUUAAGUCCCAAACCUGGAGCCCUUGUCUGAGAGCUAUCUGAUUGAAAACACCCCACCAGAUAACCCUUAACCUCUUCCCUCAGGUCCUAGAGGUUAAUUGAAGCCACUCUCUGAACUUGAAGCCAAAUUAUAUACAGAGUUUGAGAUUCCUGAAUCCCAAAGGUUAAAUGUGUUCAAGAGCAAAAGAGGAGAUCUUGUCUUUGGAAUAUUUAAAACAAUUUCAGGGCUGGAGUUCUUAGCACUUCAAUGCAGAGUUCCAGUCUAAUUUCAGGAUGCCAACUGAGGAGCUUCUAAGCAUAAAGCAUAGGAGGUGAUAGGGUGGAGUUCUUAACCUGGGACCCGUGUGGAGGUCUGGGAACCCCUGCAGUUGUCCCAAAGCUUGGUGUUUAUGUGGAUGUUUGUGUUUUCAUCUAGGAAGAGAGCUUGUAACUUUCAUCAGAAUCUCAAAGAACUCUAUGAUCCGAUAUGUUGACAGACCUCUGAAAUAAGGGAGGAUCCCAAAGAGAAUAGAAGGAAGGGAGAAUAACUGCUCAUUCAUUUAAGUUGAGCAAUUCAGAAGAAAUAUGAUGUGCAAAACAGGAGACAAAGUCAUCUACAUUCUUAUGUCAUUGGGGUUCAGACUUAGGACAGACGCAGACUCCUUCCUCUUCUCUUCAUCGUCCUCUUAGCUCUCUUCUCCCCAACACAGAAUGUCCUCAUUAUAGUGGAUGAGCUGAAGUGGUUUGGGCCUUACCUCAUCUUCAUGGCGUUUGAAAAGUGGACUACAGUAAAGUAAAGAGGUGGGAUAAAUCAAGUUUAAGUGCUACUUUCUCCUGGAAUCCCACAGAAAGGGGCUCUAAACCAGAGACAGUCUGGCUCUUCUCUAGCCACAGACUGCAGGAUUUUGGAGCCUGGAACUGUGUGAGAUACUCUUGUAACUACAAUAAUAAUGACAAAAAGGCUCUACCCCAUCCACAACUGAGUAAGACUUUGUCUGGCUUUCUCGUCUGAGUUCCUAACCUUGGUAACCAGGUGCACUGUGGAGGGAACACCUAUGCACAUCCAUACCUCAGAAAUGGGACCGGAGACCUCGAUGCUUCGUCCUACCUAAUGAAACCCUGGCGGCCCACCUGGCGAGAGUCCAGGCUGCCACUCCAUAUGGCCUGCUACCUUGUCCUUGUCAGCUUCAGCACUCAGGAUUCUCUGUUAAAAUGCCAACCUUCCCGGGAGAGGUAGACGUUACAAUAUUAUCAUCGUUGAGCAUCUACUUUGUAAAAGGCAAGUUUCUUAAAGAACUACCUAACUGAGAAACGGGAAGAGACGACAAAUAUUUUGAAGAGUGAGGUUGCUAGGAAGCAACGAUGGUGAACAAUCUAUAUACAAUAACACGGCAAGGCUCAUAGAUGACAUGCUGAGUAAGAGAAGCCAGACAAAAAAAGAGGACAUACUGAAAGAUUCUGUAGAUAAAGUUCAAAAACAGAUGCUCCAGAGCUAAGGACUACCCACUCCAUUCCACACCCCAUCUCCCUCCUGCAUCCUGGGAUGGCUUCAGUUCAGCUGGUAUCCAGUCAGGAUGGAGUUAAAGAAUACAAACAGAACCUCGUCUCCAAUCAGAUGAACAGGAUAUUUGGCAAUAACAAGUUGCUUCUGAGGAAAAUCCCGUUCGUGUGCAUUGCCAUUGUUGCUGCCGGUGCCUGGACCAGGACCCCAGCCCGCAGGUUUCCCCGGGGCUUCCUUACGGGCAUCGUCUCAAAGUGUCUGGGAAGAACUACGCAGGGCCCUUUCUGAAAACGGAAAGCUGACAUGAUCUGGCAGUUCACCAGAACUCUGUGCAGGCUUUGGAUCCACGCUGUUGUUUAUUCCCGGUAUCCCUGUAAGGAAGCUUGGGGGACGAAGUAAAAACGUUUUGUAUUCUUGUGUUUUUAUUCUCAUUUACAAGGCAUAAAUAGAUGGACUAGGUUUUGAUCUUGAUUUAAUUCUAACGUUUAUUGAGCACAGCACAAGCAGUUUUCAAGAGUUAAUUAUCUGGCCAUGGCCCAUAUUUCAGGAGUUAAUCAUCAGGUCGAAGACUCACACACAUAAAUAUGUGUGAUGAUCAGUACCAUAAUCCCACAGAGUGCUGGUGAGUUCAAUAGAUGAAGAGAUUGCUCCCAUUUGGCGAUUUAGGAGAAAUCUCCUUUCAUGAGCUGGUCUUGUAGGAUGGGAUAGAUUUAAAUAAAUGCAGAUGCGGGAAAGUGGAGGCAACAGCUCAAGUAGAGAUCUGGAAAUAGAAAAGCACAGAGUGAGUUCAAGGAAAGGCAACUACUCUAGGGUGUGGAGAACCUAAGUCAAAGAUCAGAGACUCCCUGGCCAGACCUCCAGCACACAGUGCAAUGGGGAAUAGAAAUGAUAAUGUGUCAGGUCAGGUUCUCCAGGAAACAGGCGCCUAGACGGGUAGACAUUCAAGAGCUGUUUGGGGAGAAACACCUGUAGAGGAUAAAGGGAACAAAACAGAGGUAGGGAGGGAGAGCCUUCAGAAUGGGGUACAAGCAAGACAUCUAUAAAAGGAAAAGGGGGAAGGAAAGAGGAAAGGAGGAAAGCAUCGGAAGCAUUUCAGACUGCAGCACAGCCCAGGGGUAGUUUCAGCCAGGCCGGUGGGGAAUCCUGGGUGCAAAGCCAUCCGUCAGAGGAGACCCACACCCGUGUGAUGGACUUGUGCUGUAUCACAAAUGUCGUCGGUCAUUGGCUGGGAGCAGCCUGAGGGAUGUGCAGCCUUGGCAUGAAAGUGCUGGUGGAUCCAGAGGGGUAGCGGCUGGGGCUGUCAGUCAACUCUGCUCCCUCUAUGAGAGGUCUGAGUGGUGAUUUUCGUGGCUACCACAUUUGGUCAGCAUCAUUGAAUGACUCCUGAUUGAAGAGACACAGCUUCUAAUAAUUCAUCAUUAAGGAUAAUGUUUGUUGCAGUGUUUGCUAGCUGGCCUUUUUUGGUUAAAGAAAUUCCCUCUUCUGGCUUACUAGAAGUUUUUCUUUUCAUUUUUAAAAAUUAGGAAUUUUUUUUUUCAAUAUUGAGGUGAUUAUAUGGUUUUUCUCCUAUAAUCUAUUAAUAUGAUGAAUUAUGAUUAGAGAUUUUCUGGUGUAAAUUCUACCCUUAUAUUUCAGGAAUAAACCUGAAUUGAGCAUGAGGUUCUAUUUUUUAUUUUCUGCUAUAUUUGGUUUGCUAAUGCUAUGUUUAAGAUUUUUUUCACAUGUAUUCAUGAGGGAGAUUGGACUAUAGCUUUUCUUUUUUGCAAGUCUUUGGUUUUUGAAUCAAGGACAUUUUAACUUCAUAGAAUAAUUGGGGACUAGUCCUUCAUUUAAUAUGUCUAGAAAAUGUUAAAUACAUUUGGAAAAAUAUGCUCAGUUUUUUUUUUUUUUGAAAAUUGGUAGAACUUACCUGUAAAAUUAUCUAAGCCUGAUGUUUUCUUCGUGGGAAGAGUUUUAACUCCAGAUUCAAAUUCUUUAACCAUUAUGGGAGACCAUUUAGGUUUUCUAUUUCUUCAGGAGUAAAUUUGUAAGUAAAUUUUUUUUCAGCAAAUUUGUUUAUUUUGACAAUUACCAAAUAUAUUUCCACUAAAUUGUUCUUAAUGUUUUUUUAAUUUAAAAAAAUCUGCAAUAUCUUUAGAUAUCUCCUUUAUAUUCUCCUUAUUUUGCAUAUUUAUACCAUUUUUCUUUUUUCCUUCAUCAGUUUGUCUACUUUUUGAUCCUCUUGUUCUUUGUUUCUAUAUAUUAAUUUCUGCUCUUAAAUUUAUUAUUUCUCUCUUUUUACUUUUUUAGGGUUUAUUCUAUCAUUUUUCUCUCUAAUUUCUUAAGUUAGGUGUCUAAUUUUUAGCCUUCUUUGCUUUUCUUAUAAUACAAGCAUUAAAAUGAUACAGUUUCCCUGACAUUUCUUUUGCUGCACUCCACAAUUGCUGAUAUGAAGUGUUUUUAACAUCAUUCAAUUAUGAAAAUUCAAAGUUUUCUUUGUGAUUUUUUUGACUUAUGAGUUUCUUAAAUAUUUUAAAGUUAUUAAGCAUACUGGGAUUUUUAAAAGUUUAUCUUUUUAUUAUCAAGUUAAAGCAAAUAGAAGAGACUUUGAUCUGCAUGAUUCUAGUUCUUUGAAAUUUCUUGACACUUGCUUUGUAUCGUUGUAUGUGAUCUAUUUCUAUGCAUGUUCCAUGUGUAGUAGAAUUAGCUAAUUGUUUAGUCAAGUGUUCUCUAUAUGUCCAAGAAAUCAAGCUUAGGUGUUUUUGCAUGAGGAUUGCAGGUGCAGCCUGAAGAAGAUGAAAAGCCUGAUAUUUGUGAAGUUGGGCUGUUUAAAGAUAUUGCCAAGUGUACGAACAAGCAGUAGUUUCAAAUCUCUGGGUAUUAACUUCCCGCUGGGCAAGGUCUUUUUUUAUUAUUAUUAUUAUCCUUGUAUAGAUCUGUAUUUUCUCAAUUAGUAGAUAGUAAAAAUAACUACUGUCCUGCAAUUUUUUUUUAACUUUAACAAGUGUUCCUCAUAACAGAAAAGUUCAGAAACUACUCCUGUGGGUGUGUGCUUUUUAAAGAGAUACUGAUUUCUCUAGAACAAUCAUAGAGUGCUCCAGAGGUAAUUAGCACAAUUGUGCGAGUCGUGUGCACCAUCAAACGUGCCUUCUGCCUGUCAACUCUAAAUCCACAUGAAACUGACAACACAGUCAAAGGUGAGCCUAAGGGGCAGGCAUUUUCCGAGGCUUCCUAGCACAUUGAGAUAGGCUUGGCCAGUCUGCAACAGGGUCUCUGUCAGAAUUGCAUUUCUAAAACUAAAUUCAAACUGCUUUCAUUUAGGGCGUCAGAACUGAUUGAAAUUCAGAUCUUUAAGAGCCCUUAGUUUUAGGACUUUUCCCGUUCUCAGUCUCCAUCACUUGUUUCGUGAAUCCAAACCCAUUUUGAUCAUAUCCUUGACUCAGUCCUGUAACAAGGAUAAAGGAGAUAUGUUCAUGCUGAGGAAAUAUAACAAAGGAGGGACUUUCCUACAAGAUCUGUGAAAAAAAAAGAACAUUUGCAUAAACCAUAUUUAACCAGAAUGUUUGUUUUAUGUUUUUCCUUUCUGAAUGCUUUGUUACACACCCUUGCAGUCCCCCUCCCUGUCCCCCGACCCAACUAGUCAGCCACAAAGCCUCAAAAAAGUUUCACCUUGGAAUCUUCCUGGCCCCACCCUGAUCAUCCUGCCUGAAUAAUUACAGUUACUGACUCUUCUCCCUGCUUCCGCUUCUCUCCGCUCCCAACCCUCAGACGAGUUCAUCUUCCCAGAAUUUCAUAGUGAUCCUGUCCGUCUAUUGCUCAGGUUUUCCCAGAAACUGUGGAAUAAACUUCACAAGCUUUAGUCUGGAGUUUAAAGCUAUUCUAUGCCUUUUUCACUGCUGGUUCUCUGCUAAGCCUGUAAAACCUAUCUGUCGUUUCUGACUCCAUACCUUCGUCUUAGCUACUUAACCCAUCUUCUGCUUCCUAAUUAGACCUCACUCAGGAUCUAUUUUUAUCAGUAAAUUCUGCUGCCCUUUGCCAAGUGGCCCCUCCCUCCUCCGAAACCAGCAUCUCUGAAUUUGCACCCUCAGCACAGUUAGUGUGCGCUGCCUCGGCUUGUAGUAGAUAUCUUGUAGAUAUCCAGUAGAUAUCUUUUCUCUGCAACCACCACCUCCAGAUGCUGGGUCCUUCAGGGCGGGACUCCGCCUCUAGGUGUCCACAGCCUCUGGUACCGUUCCUUGCAAUAGUAAAUUUUUAGUAGAUGUUUAAUUAGUUAAUUGAAAACCUUAGGCCUCUCUUCAUACUAAACAUGCCCAUGUAAUUUAUCAUUCAAUAGCCAUGUUGAGCAUCUAUUGUCCUCCCAAGAGAGGGGGAGGUUCUCAGGAUGCUGAGAUCAAGAGACACAGUCUGUUCCGGGUUGGGACCGAGGGUGCUUUUGUUGUGAGUUGGAAAGGCCACAUUCUUUUGGCCUGCCCAAGGAGUCCAGCAUUAGUAUUUGAAAUCAAAUCUAUUUUGAGUAAUUUCUUAUUCCCUUUUCUCUUCAGCAUUACACACCAGCUCUUUUUAAUACCACCUUUCCUUACCUAAUAGACAGACACUUAGUAGCCAUGGGGACUUUCCCAAGUUAUUUAAUAUCUCUGGGCUUCAGUUUCCUAAAAUUUGAAACGGGAAUAAUAAUACUGGUGGCCAAGGAUUAAAGGCUGUGAGGAAUGUAACCCAGAUGUCAACUAGGGUCUCUCCUUUAAAAUCCGGAUACAAUGGAUUAAAAAUGCUGAUAAUGUGGAAGCCCAAAACACUUCCUGAGUUCUCAAAAUUCCCAGAGAGCUUAAUUUUCCUGCUCUCUUUGGUACUGAUUUUCUUCUAAAUAUUUGUUUCUAACAAAAUAUUUUGUUCCAACUUUUCUUUUUGUGGCUAUUCCUUCAUAUCUGUCAUUUUCCCAAACUAAGGAAGCAGCCCCUUCACCUUAAACUCCUCCUUCAAAGCGCCCUGAACGCAGGCCUGUGUUUGUAGUAGAAUGUUUACAGAAGGUUUAUGCGAUGCCGAGGGAAUCACACCACCUAACAUUCAUGUCAGUCCUCAGCGGGCAGGCAGCCUCCACAGAGUUCUUGCUAACCGCACCUCUUCCAGUUCUUUUCUAUCUCCAUCCUUUCCUCUUUUUCCUUCUCAUGUCAUCACAGGAGGAAAGAAAACUCAGUUUCCUGAAUUUUCAUACACAGGGCACCCUAGUUACACGUUACUACUGCAGAAGUUCCUGCCAACACUGAGUCUGUAGGCUCUUGCCUUCUGCCUCAGAGGCUUAUCAAGAAAAGACAGGUUUCUCCCAAUUUGGAUUUUGAUGCCAAAUAAGAUCACUGGAUGCCAACUAAAAUAAAUUGAAGAUAAUAAACUUAAAAAUAAAUUGUUACCCUGCUUUUAUCACCAUCAUGGCUACUAGUGCUAUUAGAACUCUUAGAAUUGGAAGCACUCCUACUAGAUCUCUUCCUCAGACCACGGUUCAUACCAAGAUGCCGAGGAAAGUUUAGUUCCGAUUACACCUUUCAGAGUCACACAGGGAAGGCUGUAGAGCAUGAAAUGCCCAGAGCCCGCUAGGUCAGACAAGCCUGCCGAGGCCAAGGGAAAGUGAAAAUCUCAUUAUCUUUCCCAAUAAUUUCCCUGCCUCUUGUCAUGGGUUAUGGGUUGUUCUGGCAGUGGCAGCUUUUCUUUCCUGAAUGAGACGUGUAAACAGAAGGAAGAACCAAACUGCUGGAGUCCAGAGAGGGAAAUUUUAGAAAAACUUUGGAGAAAAGGGAAAUGAAGAGAUGCGUCAGCGGGCAGAGAAUAGAAUCUUUGAGGGGGAGGAGCACGGGCAGGGAAAGGCUAACCAUUGGUUUUCCACAGAAUGGUUUGAGUGUGAAGCCUCUUUCUUGUCUCAUGUAUUUCUCCUUAAGUCGUUAUGGAGCAAGGUCUGUUUCAGACGCGUGUCAAAAACAGAGCACAGUCCUAGGGAGGCCAAGGGGUGAGAGCUGAGGCCACGCAGGGAAAGUGUGUAACACUCUGGCGACAGGUUUUUCUUAUCAGAUUUAGGUCAUAAAAUUAAUUUAGGUAAUAAAAUCUUAAUUUAAUGACAUAUUUCUGCGGGAGACUAAUAUAAGACAGCCCAGGCCCACCGGCCUCUGAUGAACAAAUCCAGAGGACUGGACAGUUCUGUGUCCCUCGACUCUUUCGAUUUCACGAAGGCUCGUACUCUGGGUUAUGGGAAAAAGGGGUUAUUUCAUCUGAUCCGGGACACAACUGUGUGCAGAAGAUAAUGGUAUCCCCAUUUCACGAAUAAGUUUGAAAUUCAGAGAGGCAGAUGACUUGCAGGGUCCCACCACAGAGGUAGAGGUAGGAUUCCAGCUGAGUGGGUCUGACUCCCCAACCUAUGCCCUUCCAUCUCGCCCCAGCAAGAGGGCAGGUGGUGAGCUGACCUCCUGUGGUGAAAAUCUCAGUGCUGGGUUGCUAUCUGAACACAAAUGAAGGACCCUCUGGUGUCUGAUCUCAGGAGAAGGCCUCAGACCUGCAUCUACUCAAGCCCUUGCAUAAGAUCCAGAAUCCUACACCAAAAAGCAGAAAAGCAAGAUUUGGGUGGGGAAAAAAAUCUACAUUUAAGGUUCAGUUCACAAACCAAUUUCAUACCUGACUCAAUCAUUGCAAUAACUCUGUGAGAUAAAAAAGGUACAUUUCAUUCUUAUGUUACAUAUGAGGAAACAGGAAACCAAGUCUCAGGGAGGUUAAUGCCAACAUCUUGUGAAAUUUGCCUUAUGAAUCUUUAUUUCUGUCUUUAUGAAUCUUAUGAAUCUUUAUUUAAGGGAUGUAGCAUGACGUAAUUCCUAAGAUCACAUAGUAGCCUUAGAACUUAAACAUAGACUGUGUUUUUAAAUCUAUACACAUCUUACUUCCAAGAAGUAGCCUCCACUUGAGUUCUUUGAUCCUGAUGUCUUAAUUGAAUACCCUUGCUCUCAGGGCUGCCAUGUGAGUCUGUGCAGGUUGUACACUGCACAACUCUGAGGUAUGUAUCCUGAGCUACAUAAGUGUGAAUGGCACAUCCUAGAUUUAUAGUGCACAACAUGGAGGAUGUUUUGCAACAGCGCUUGUUGUAAUGCAGAAUCUGAGAUGGCUUUGAGAAAGGAAAAUGUAGUCAUUACCAAAAAAUAAUUCUCAUAACAUGUACAAAUUUGUAUGAAAGCUGUAUUGGCCAUGGAGCAAGGAGGUAUUUCCAAAGUUUCUACACAGGACCCUGUUCUCUUAUAAGAAUUCAGCCCUCUAUAUAAUGUUAUAAUCCAAUGUUACUGCAAUAAAAAAAAAAAAAAGAAUUCAGCCCUUGACGUUAGAUGAGUUCAGGUCAUCACAUGCCAUGGAGAAAGGGUUUGCUACAAAUAAUAUCAACAGUACACUGUGUGCUCUUUCUGAUUUAUUUGAAGAAACAUUUAUUGAGUGUCAAGUAAUAAACUAGAUAUUCCAGAGAUGGGGCACAAUCUCUGCCUUUAAGGAGGGUAAAAUUGGGGAGAAAACAUACAUGUGAUAAUUUUUAAGAAAGCAAUCUAAGUAACAUUUUAAAAAACCAAACUGUAUUUUGCACAAAAUUGCAUGUUACAGACUAACUUUGCAGUAGGAGACCAGAAAGGGAAGAUUGCCAUGAGUUGGACUAGUUGAGCACUGGUUAUGAAAGAAGUGGUGAGGGUGGGGCCUUCCUGAGAGGAAUCUUAAUGAAUAGAUAGAAUCUGGGUAGAUGGAUAAGAAGAUUGGGGGUGGGGAAGGAGGAGCAUUUCAGCAUGAGCCAAGGACUCUCCCUCUACUUGUUUUAACACUUUUUUUUUUUUUUUAAGAUUGGCACCUGAG
Molecule: non-coding RNA, 12352 nt
Organism: Equus caballus (horse)
Lineage: Eukaryota; Metazoa; Chordata; Mammalia; Perissodactyla; Equidae
Source: RefSeq, a predicted model, not a curated record